UCUAAAAUUAUCACAGAAGAAAAAAGUUUUUAUAUUUAUUUAUCAAAACAGAGUUAGGAAACAUGAUCUCUUGGUAUCUAAUCUUUGCACUCUUGGUUGCGACGAGCGUAUGUCAAGGACCAUCUUACGAUGGAAGCAAACCUAUAGGGUAUCCUGCUUUUGAGGAGAAAGCAAAAGAGUCUACGAGCGCUAGAGAUGAACCAAGGAUGGCACCUGGAACUACAACAAUGUCGACACCAGUGAUAGCAACGAGGCUACCCAUUGGGGCUUUUAGAGACAGAAGUCUGCUUGAAACCCUUUCCAAACUGCCUUUAGAUAAACAGCCAGUGUGGUUGGAAAAUUGGAAAAAAUUGGAAGAAAAUAGACCUAUACCGAAAACUUAUUAACUCAAACCAAAUUUGUAACUACAUCCCAUAUACCCACAUCUCGUCCUCGACCCGGACGAUAUCUUUAUUAACCAAAAUUUCAUUAACAAAUGUAAUGUCAUUGUCUUUUCUUAAAUACGUUUUAAAUAAAUUUACUUUGUGGUUAAUUGAUUUUUAAUGUAAUAAGCAACUUAUCAGAAUAUUCAUUGUUUACGCCGAAUAAAAAUAAAAAGGAUUAAAAACAAAAUGUUG
Long non-coding RNA from Papilio xuthus (Asian swallowtail), 617 nucleotides. RefSeq lists it as uncharacterized. NCBI's taxonomy places the organism in Eukaryota, Metazoa, Arthropoda, Insecta, Lepidoptera, Papilionidae. The transcript is spliced from 3 exons. The record is from RefSeq and is a predicted model, not a curated record.